RNAcentral lists this ribosomal RNA (2770 nucleotides) under Candidatus Campbelliibacteriota bacterium. RNAcentral describes it as "partial 23S ribosomal RNA". It matches the Rfam family "Bacterial large subunit ribosomal RNA", at positions 1108 to 2925 of the family's 2925-position model. Lineage: Bacteria; Candidatus Campbelliibacteriota. The record is from RNAcentral.
AGAAGCAGCCAUCCUUUAAAGAUAGCGUAACAGCUCACUCAUCAAGAGAUAUUGCGCCGCAAAUAAUCGGGGCUAAGUAUGGUACCGAAGGUUAGGAUGUCACAUUUUUAAUGUGGCGUGGUAGGAGAGCAUUCUGUUCUGCAAUGAAGCCAAAGGCGUAAGCCAUGGUGGAGCGUACAGAAGCGAGAAUGUUGGCACAAGUAACCGCAAUGCAGGUGAGAUCCCUGCACGCCGAAAGACUAAGGUUUCCUUCGCAAUGGUGAUCAGCGAAGGGUUAGUCGGGCCUAAGGAGAUGGUGAAAACCGGAUCUGAUGGACAUACGGUUAAUAUUCCGUAACUUCUUUAUAUUUCGAUGGAGUGACGGAGGACACAAGUAAGAGCACAUUAUUGGAUUUGUGUAUUUUAUUUUAAGAAUUGUUUCUUAGGAAAAUCCGGGAAACUGACUUUAAUGUCGAAUUUCGUAAAUAGAUUAAAUUUCUUCCCUCGGGUUGGAAAAUUCUUACGAAGAGCCUUCCAAGAAAAGCUUCUAAGGUUAAGUAUAAAGAACCCGUACCGUAAACCGACACAGGUAGUCAGGUCGAGAAGACCAAGGCGAACGAGUGAUAAUUCCCCAAGGAACUCGGCAAAAUAGCAGCCGUAACUUCGGAAUAAGGCUUGCCCUUCUGUAAAAGGAGGGGCCGCAGCGAAAGUAACCCUGCCGACUGUUUAUCAAAAACACAGCUCCCUGCGAACUCGCAAGAGGAUGUAUAGGGGGUGACGCCUGACCAAUGCCAGAAGGUUAAAUAUUGGUGGUACGUUCCUCACUGCGUUUGGAACGCAAGUAAGCAGUAGUAAGGUGUAAGUAGUAAGAAACGAAAAAUUUGCUUUGCAAAUUUUUACUUAUUACUUAAUCCUUAUUACUUAAUACUUGCUCCGAGCGAAGCGAGGAGCGUGCUGUCUGAUAUAAGCCCUGGUGAAUGUCGGCCGUAACUAUAACGGUCCUAAGGUCGUAUCUCUUAAUUUUUAGGGGGUACGAUGACUGGGACUGUUAUGUUUACACGAUAAACAAGAUAGAUAGUUUGUGCAUUAAUAAUUUAAGGAAUUAAAGUUGCCUAUUUAUCAUUUAAUUAUGAUGAAUGUCAAAAAAAUCUAGCUAUAUGCUGGAAAAUCCGAGAAUCUGAAGGUACUCGCUACAUUUUUUGUAGCAGUAAAAAUCCGAUCAGUGCGGACAAUCAGCAGGAAAGAUUAAAAAUUGAAUCUCAGUUUUUAAAAUCCUCAGAGACUAAACGCUAGACUAAGUAAAUACUUAGAAAGUAUAGUCCGAACUACAUAGCGAUAUGUAGAGACAGAAAAAGCUGUCCACUUUGAUUUUUCAAAGGAGUAACAAAUUUGAGCGAAAUUCCUUGUCUAGUAAUUGUAGACGUGCACGAAUGGCGUAACGAGUGGGGUACUGUCUCGGGGAACAGCUCGGUGAAAAUACAAUACCGGUGAAGAUGCCGGUUACCUGCAGCUAGACGAAAAGACCCCAGGAGCUUUACUAUAGCUUGGUAUUGGGUGUAUGUUUUUGAUGCGUAGCAUAGGUGGGAGACUUUGAAGGGCAGUUUUUGGAUUGUCUGGAGUCAACAGUGAAAUACCACUCUUUAAAAAUGUACAUUCUAAUCUCGACGGAAAAAACGGCGGGAGACAGUAUCUGGCAGGUAGUUUUAGUGGGGCGCUAUCCUCCUAAAAAGUAACGGAGGAGCCUAUUAAGGUCAGCUAAGCGCGAAUGGAAACCGUGCUGAUAGUGUAAUGGCACAAGCUGGCUUGAUUGUGAGGCGUGCAUGCCGAACAAGUGCGAAAGCAGAGCAUAGUGAACCGACACCUCGCAUUAGACGCGGGUGAAGAUUAACGGAUAAAAGCUACCCUGGGGAUAACAGGCUGGUAUCGCCUAAGAGUUCAUAUCGACGGCGAUGUUCGGCACCUCGAUGUCGGCUCAACUUAUCCUGGGGCUGGAGAAGGUCCCAAGGGUUUGGCUGUUCGCCAAUUAAAAAGUUACGCGAGCUGGGUUCAGACCGUCGAGAAGCGAAGCUUCUCGACAAAUAACAAGUAAAAAGUCUUGUUUCGCGAUUCGACAGUCUGAAUCAAAACAAAACAUAGAGUUUUUUCGUCUAUGAAAAAGAAAAGAAACCAACCACACGGCGGUCCGUGAAAAGUAAUUUUCACGAGAAAAAGUCAACUUAUAUCGGUAGAAUCCUAUCAUUUUUUUGAGGACAAUACCGAGGGAAAACUGAGUUAAAAGUUGAAAGUUCAUAAAGUUUAUAAAGUAUUAAAAAUCGCACGACGAUUUUCAAAAAACUUUUAACUUUAGAAACUUUAAAAACUUUAUAAACUCUUUUGCCCGUAGAGACUAAAUGUUGACCUCUGAUUUUUUAAAAAAUCAGACGAAGUUAUAGUCCGAUCCCGUUAGUAAUAACGGUGUUGAAAACUAUUAGUCACAAGCUAAGAGUUAUCAGCUACAUAUUGCGUGAGACAGGUUGGUCUCCUAUCUGCUGCAGGCGUUGAUUCUUGAGAAGAUUUGCUCCUAGUACGAGAGGACCGGAGUGAACUAACCUCUGGUGUACCAGCUGUUCCGCCAGGAGCACCGCUGGGUAGCUAUGUUGGGAAUGGAUAACCUCUGAAAGCAUCUAAGAGGGAAGCCAACUUCAAGAUUAGGAAUCGUUUAAGAUCCCUGAGAGAUGAUCAGGUGAUAGGCUCUAGGUGUAAGCACAGUAAUGUGUUCAGCCGAGGAGUACUAAUGCAUCGAGACAUUUCU